This is a non-coding RNA of Phrynosoma platyrhinos (Desert horned lizard), 72 nucleotides long. The record is from the annotation of a GenBank genome assembly. Lineage: Eukaryota; Metazoa; Chordata; Lepidosauria; Squamata; Phrynosomatidae.
GUCAGUUUGGUAUAGUGGUUUGAAUGCUGGACUAGGAUUUCUGGAGACUUGGGUUCAAAUCCCCAGUGGAAA